UGACCACUUUCUGAGGAGAGUUAAGGCUACACGGACGGCCGGGUCAAAUGCCG
RNAcentral lists this small RNA (53 nucleotides) under uncultured Bulleidia sp. RNAcentral's name for it is "Streptococcus sRNA SpF59 (ldcC RNA)". It matches the Rfam family "Streptococcus sRNA SpF59 (ldcC RNA)". The record is from RNAcentral. Lineage: Bacteria; Bacillati; Bacillota; Erysipelotrichia; Erysipelotrichales; Erysipelotrichaceae.